ACAAUGAAGAGUUUGAUCCUGGCUCAGGAUGAACGCUAGCUACAGGCUUAACACAUGCAAGUCGAGGGGCAGCAUUUUAGUUUGCUUGCAAACUAAAGAUGGCGACCGGCGCACGGGUGAGUAACACGUAUCCAACCUGCCGAUAACUCGGGGAUAGCCUUUCGAAAGAAAGAUUAAUAUCCGAUAGUAUAUUAAAACCGCAUGGUUUUACUAUUAAAGAAUUUCGGUUAUCGAUGGGGAUGCGUUCCAUUAGUUUGUUGGCGGGGUAACGGCCCACCAAGACUACGAUGGAUAGGGGUUCUGAGAGGAAGGUCCCCCACAUUGGAACUGAGACACGGUCCAAACUCCUACGGGAGGCAGCAGUGAGGAAUAUUGGUCAAUGGACGAGAGUCUGAACCAGCCAAGUAGCGUGAAGGAUGACUGCCCUAUGGGUUGUAAACUUCUUUUAUAUGGGAAUAAAGUAUUCCACGUGUGGGAUUUUGUAUGUACCAUAUGAAUAAGGAUCGGCUAACUCCGUGCCAGCAGCCGCGGUAAUACGGAGGAUCCGAGCGUUAUCCGGAUUUAUUGGGUUUAAAGGGAGCGUAGGUGGAUUGUUAAGUCAGUUGUGAAAGUUUGCGGCUCAACCGUAAAAUUGCAGUUGAAACUGGCAGUCUUGAGUACAGUAGAGGUGGGCGGAAUUCGUGGUGUAGCGGUGAAAUGCUUAGAUAUCACGAAGAACUCCGAUUGCGAAGGCAGCUCACUAGACUGCAACUGACACUGAUGCUCGAAAGUGUGGGUAUCAAACAGGAUUAGAUACCCUGGUAGUCCACACAGUAAACGAUGAAUACUCGCUGUUUGCGAUAUACAGUAAGCGGCCAAGCGAAAGCAUUAAGUAUUCCACCUGGGGAGUACGCCGGCAACGGUGAAACUCAAAGGAAUUGACGGGGGCCCGCACAAGCGGAGGAACAUGUGGUUUAAUUCGAUGAUACGCGAGGAACCUUACCCGGGCUUAAAUUGCAUUUGAAUAAUCUGGAAACAGGUUAGCCGCAAGGCAAAUGUGAAGGUGCUGCAUGGUUGUCGUCAGCUCGUGCCGUGAGGUGUCGGCUUAAGUGCCAUAACGAGCGCAACCCUUAUCUUUAGUUACUAACAGGUUAUGCUGAGGACUCUAGAGAGACUGCCGUCGUAAGAUGUGAGGAAGGUGGGGAUGACGUCAAAUCAGCACGGCCCUUACGUCCGGGGCUACACACGUGUUACAAUGGGGGGUACAGAAGGCAGCUACCUGGUGACAGGAUGCUAAUCCCAAAAACCUCUCUCAGUUCGGAUCGAAGUCUGCAACCCGACUUCGUGAAGCUGGAUUCGCUAGUAAUCGCGCAUCAGCCAUGGCGCGGUGAAUACGUUCCCGGGCCUUGUACACACCGCCCGUCAAGCCAUGAAAGCCGGGGGUACCUGAAGUACGUAACCGCAAGGAGCGUCCUAGGGUAAAACUGGUAAUUGGGGCUAAGUCGUAACAAGGUAGCCGUACCGGAAGGUGCGGCUGGAACACCUCCUUU
RNAcentral lists this ribosomal RNA (1529 nucleotides) under Bacteroides xylanisolvens. RNAcentral describes it as "bacterial SSU rRNA". It matches the Rfam family "Bacterial small subunit ribosomal RNA". The record is from RNAcentral. Lineage: Bacteria; Pseudomonadati; Bacteroidota; Bacteroidia; Bacteroidales; Bacteroidaceae.